CAAUAUAUUAAAAAAACACACUGAAGUAGGCGGGACUGUAAAUUGUGACAGUUAGAUAUUCUAUGCAUUGAGACGUGGGCCAUUUAUGCUUUGGGAACUACUUUAUUUUGUAUGGGAAGAAAGCCAGGUAUUUUUGUAAACGGAAAGUAACAUUCUUGAAAUAGAACAGUGUUAACCUUUUUACUUUUUCAGGAGAGAUAAAUUGGGGUCCUGCAUUCACACUGGAACUACACAAUGUACUACUGCUAGGUACUGGAACCACUGACUUGCCUUUUUCUCUAGGUAUCCUCCUCUUAAACCAACAGCCCUUGUAUGCUGCUACCCACCGCUCCAUGUGCUUUUUGGCAAUUAGGGAAUAUGGACUGUAUAGACUAUUUGCUCCGUCAAGUGAAGUUAUUACUGAACAGGACAAGUUCAGGGAACUUUGUGGACUGAAAAGAAGAAGAAGAAAAAAAAUCAAGAUCCCAAAGGGGUAACAUGUCUAAUGUCCAUAUAACUGAAAUGAAAACCAUUGGGUGUUGUGCCUUUGUAUGAGUGUUGGAGUGGUGUUAGGUCUAAUCACCAUCCAGAGUGUGGGUAGUGUUGGUAAAGUGGGGGUAUAGCUUUAAAACACCGAAGUGCAUUAUGGGUAACGUAGUAAGUUCACUUUGGUUUUGGAUGCAUUAUGGGUAACGUAGUAAGUUCACUUCGGUUUUGGAUGCAAUUGUGUGUGAUAUGGAUAUAGCCCGAACUGUGAGCCCACUAUAUUAUUUUGUCUUUUGGACUACCUCAAAUGAUGGAAAAAUGUUAAUAAAAGUUAACUACUUCAGUGGAAUUCCAGACUAACUUGUCAUUAGCAGCGGAUAAGAUCCCCAGAUGUGACAAUUACCCCAGAACAUCUGUAAAUUGCUCUGGCCCUGGAGCUAGCAAGUGAAGGCUCCCCUGAGCCGUCCCGACUACGGUCUGGAGGAACAGCAGGAAAGGUAACGCAGGUCUUCCUGUGAAGAGCCAGGUCAAUAUUGUGUACUGCAGGCUGAGGAAGCUGAAGGCCCACGGCUUGGAGAGCGCUAGGGAAGGGGCUGUGUUCUGGCCUAACCACUGGAGAGUCAAGCUGUGCACCUGCGUCAGUUGCAAGGUCAUCACAGCAGAAGCCAUCCACCAAUUCUUUGGGGAGCUGAUGAAGAGGCGACAGAUGAACAGCUGAUGUCAUUCUGCCCCACGGUGUCCUGUUGUUUACUUGUGAAAUGUUGUAAUGUUACUUUGGGUUCAUAGCAAAACAGUUCUGUCCACCAAACACCUUCUGCUUUAAAUAACAGUGCUGCUAUAAAAUAUGCUGUUACUGAGGUUUAUGAAGUUGAAAGUUUUGCCAAAAAAGUUGUUCUCGAAUGGUUCUCCAUGGAUUUCAAAUGGCGUUCCAUGUCUUAUGAGAAGCUGAAGUACCAUGCAAGUAGCAUUCUGUUAGCAGGCUUGGAGAGAUGCUGAUGGAAUCUAGUCAUUUUAGUCAUGGACUUACUGUUAUUUGGUCAAUUAUGUCCAAGUUGUCAUUAGAAUUUCAUAAUGUGACACCUGAUGAGGAUGCACUGCCAUUCAUAUUGAAACAGAUCCAGUAUGUGUCCAUUUAAUGUUGUCACUAGCAUUCCUGUUAAUUAAACAUUUGAAUAGUUCAUCCAG
Salvelinus sp. IW2-2015 is the source of this 1650-nucleotide long non-coding RNA. RefSeq lists it as uncharacterized. The record is from RefSeq and is a predicted model, not a curated record. NCBI's taxonomy places the organism in Eukaryota, Metazoa, Chordata, Actinopteri, Salmoniformes, Salmonidae.